AAGUUUAGUUGCUUGUGUUCUUGUUUGCACAAUUUUUUUUUCUGCUUAAUAAGUUUGUCUAAUACUAGUCCCAAGACGUGGCCUGUUGGCUAAAGCUUGCGGUCUCUGAGUACACCCACUCAUAGAUUGCGUAUUUGAAACUGCAAUCGAAACUUUGGGUGAGCUUAACAAGGAAUAAACCCUGGAUGCCUCUUGAGUGUAGGCUUUGUGGCAAGCACAAACAAUUUUGCAAUAUUGUUGAAUACUAAUGCUGCAGAUUGCGAAUAUUUGAUGAUUUCUUGUAUAGACCUGCAACAAGCCUAUCUGUUCUCUGUAAAUGUUCGUAAUUGCUAGAUUAAGUGACUAAUCUGG
This 351-nucleotide unclassified non-coding RNA is filed under the name Hevea brasiliensis (rubber tree). The record is from RNAcentral. Lineage: Eukaryota; Viridiplantae; Streptophyta; Magnoliopsida; Malpighiales; Euphorbiaceae.